Molecule: ribosomal RNA, 119 nt
Filed under: Triticum aestivum (bread wheat)
Lineage: Eukaryota; Viridiplantae; Streptophyta; Magnoliopsida; Poales; Poaceae
Source: RNAcentral
GGAUGCGAUCAUACCAGCACUAAAGCACCGGAUCCCAUCAGAACUCUGAAGUUAAGCGUGCUUGGGUGAGAGUAGUACUAGGAUGGGUGACCUCCUGGGAAGUCCUCGUGUUGCACUCC